UGUAGCCAUCUAUUCAAAUAUAUUUUUUCCCUUGAUUUUUCUGUAUGGGCAGUAGGAAUCACAAUAUCACCUGCUCAUUAACAUUAGGAUUGAUUAUAAUUAGGGCUGUCAAAAUAACACGUUAAUUGCAAUUAAUUCAUUACAGAAAUAUUAAUAUGCUAAAAAAUGUAACGCUGAUUAAUCGCAUUUUAUAGUGACAUUUGACCCAGUGCAGUCUAGCUUUCAUGACUGAAGGAGGCAGACAAGAAAGCACUGCUUUGAAUGAAACAUUUAGCUUAGGCCUAUAAAGAAUGCUCAGACCAAUAUACUGUCGACAGGAGCAUCAAUCUACUAUUUCUUCAGUAAGGAAUUUCCGUUGCUUACCAUAGGAGUUUGCCAAGUCUUUGCCAAGUAGCACCUCAAUGCAAAACAAUCCAGAGUUAGGCCUACGAGUUAGCACACUGAUGAUGAUAAUGCUAGCCACCAGCCUUGUCAAAGUUAACUUUGCUAACGUUUUGCUGAGCCUACCCUAUGACCGACUAACUAACUAACCAACAAACUCCCUUAAUACAUUGACUACAUUUGUUGCAUAUUUGAAACAAGAAGUCUUCAAAAGUAUGUAGAAGGUGGUUACAUGUAUUUCUAUUCCAAUAACUUCACACAUUACAUUUCCAUUUGCACUUGUAGGCUAUGCUGCAUUAAUUAAUUUCUUUGUUCCUACUAUUGAACUGCUAUUUCUUAUCCUGGACUGCCACCUACUGGAUAGAAAAGGCAAUAACCUAGUAAUUAUGUGAAUUAAAAUCUACACGUUUGAAUGGCCAAAAAAAAAGAUAAAUCAUAGGUGGUAUUCCACACAUGUUAGGGUAGCCUACUCUGCACAUGUCAUUGACAGUGAGUGGUAACUUCAGUCAUUUGCAUUUAUCAUGCUAAAAAUCUGACACCAGGCACUAUGCUGAUGCCUAUCAAAGGGGAAAUUAUAAUAAAAGAGAGAGACGUUGAACUUUAAGGUCUAUAAUGUUGGUUUGGCUGUUCAUUGAUUCACUCAUCUUGUUUUUAAGAUAUGUUCAUAGCAAAAAUGGAUGCAUGGAAAUAAUUUAGGUUAAUGUCACAGAGUGUGUAAUUAAUUAGAUUAAAUGUUUUAAUCGAUUGACAGCCCUAAUUAUAAUGUCUCCCUUUACAUACAUGUACUACAUACUGUACUAUGUUUUUUUUUUGUGGUUUAGGGAGCAUAAUACUAGGGAUGCUAUCUCCUGCUAAAUGUAAUUUUUGUAGAGGUCUGUGGAAUUGUUUUUGAGUCAUAUCUAACAACAGUUGUGGCUGACACAAGUGAGGAGUAAUAACUAUUUUGUAAUCAAAAUUCAUGUGUAUAUCCACAGGUUCAUAUAGGACCUUCCACUUCAAUAACCCAGCAUCAAUAUGGUUCAAUCAAGUGGUUUAAUGCUAAAAAGGCCACAAAGGACCUUCUUCUGGCCGUGUUUGGGAGGAGCAUACUUGCCAGCCACUCCUACACUGGCAAACAGUCCAAUGCUUUCCGGACUAAAGCAGCUAAACCCCAGCUUAACCCGGUCAAAGUGAGCGACAUUAUAAAUUACAUCACUAAACGGUUUGGGGUCGACCAGGGGGAGGUAAAGGCCAUCUCCGAGAAAUGUGCGGAUCAGGAAAAGAUGGAGAAGAGGCGGACACAUUGACUGACACACACACACACUGAUUAUUUGUAACAGUAAUUUUUGUUAUUGUUGUUAUUUCUUUGUUUGUUUGUUUUUUUGUUUAUUUAUUUAUAUUUAAUAAUAAAUAUAAUUACUUCA
This is a long non-coding RNA of Alosa alosa (allis shad), 1784 nucleotides long. RefSeq lists it as uncharacterized. Lineage: Eukaryota; Metazoa; Chordata; Actinopteri; Clupeiformes; Clupeidae. The record is from RefSeq and is a predicted model, not a curated record. The transcript has 2 exons.